RNAcentral lists this ribosomal RNA (341 nucleotides) under uncultured Pseudomonadota bacterium. RNAcentral's name for it is "bacterial SSU rRNA". It matches the Rfam family "Bacterial small subunit ribosomal RNA", at positions 29 to 351 of the family's 1533-position model. The record is from RNAcentral. Lineage: Bacteria; Pseudomonadati; Pseudomonadota.
AGCGAACGUUAGCGGCGGGCCUAACACAUGCAAGUCGUACGAGAAAGUAGACUUCGGUCUGCGAGUACAGUGGCGGACGGGUGAGUAACACGUGGGUAAUUUGCCCUUCGGCGGGGGAUAACAGUCCGAAAGGACUGCUAAUACCGCAUACGUCGACGGAGACUUCGGUUUCUGUCGGGAUAGCGUGCCUCUAUUUAUAAGCACGCGCCGAGGGAGAAGCCCGCGUCGCAUCAGCUUGUUGGUGAGGUAAUGGCUCACCAAGGCUAAGACGCGUAGCUGGUCUGAGAGGAUGAUCAGCCACACUGGGACUGAGACACGGCCCAGACACCUACGGGUGGCAG